ACUGCAGACUGAAGCGGUUCCUAUUUGGCCACCUUGCCAGCCCAUCUCGAACAUCAUCUAAAAGGACUGGACCUACAUCUGCAGUUAACUGCACAAUGGAAGAAACGGCCUCUCCUGGGCAGCCUCAUGGAUGGGGUGAAGAGACAAAGCUUGGGAGUGUAGCAUGUUGAGCACAUCUGCUCAGAGGUAACAUUUAAGCAGUAAGUCUUGUGUUUUAAAUCAUGUUAUCAGCCUACAUGCAUUAUCUCUUUUAGUCAUCAUCAUAACUCUGUAAUAUAAAUACUGUAAAAUAUUUUAUAGAGGAGAAAAAACUCCUAUGUAGUAAGAAGAGAGAUAACUUGUCCUAGUACACACUGCUAGUUGGAAAUAAACCAAACAAAUGAACCCAAGUUUUGCCCCCAGAACCUAUAUGUUCAUAUUUCAAACUAAACAACCAUCUUUCCUGGAAAGCAAUCUCUUCUCCAGACAUCUCUAUUUCUCUCAAUAGAAUGAACUUCUUAGUGAUUUAUUUUUUAAAGUUAAAUGUCAUAAAAUAGGCAUAUGUUGUAGAUAUAACCAAAUUGAAGUAGCAUGUUUAUGUAUUAGAGCACAACUUCAAAAUGGAGAGAUUUAAACAGCUGUUUCAUCAGCUCUUGUCAGGGCUCAGCUGCGUGCCUCUUCUGCUGCUCACAUGUGUAGUUUCUCAUGCAGUUACCAUCAGAUUGGGCUGAAGCUGCCGUGGCUCCAGGUCUAACUCCCUCAUGUUCCUCCCCAGGGGCUUCACUCUAUGUUGCUGUUUUAAAUAAUCUUACUUUUUAAGAACAGUUUUCGACAUACAGAAAACUUGGGCAAUACUACAGAGGGUUCACACAUACCCCACACCCAGUUUUCUCUGUUACUAACAUCUUAUAUCAGUGAUGUACAAGUGUUACAAUUAAUAUGCCCAUAUUGAUGCAUUGUUAUUAACUAAAGUCCAGAUUUUUUUCAGUUUUUUUUUAUUUUUUUUAUUUUUUAUUUUUUUUAGUUUUUACAAAAUGUCCUUUUCUGUUCCAAGAUCUCAUCUGGAUACCAUGUCAUAUUUAGUUGUCAUGUCUCCUUGGGCUCCUCUUGGCUGUGACAACUGUGGCCUUGCUCUUUAUGUGUUGUCUUAUCCUCCAGGACCACACACACACAUGCGGGCACGCACACACACACACACACACACACACACACACACACACACACGGUAGUUUGGACUUCUUACUUACUGGCCAAAGGCUCUGAGAUGAGGGAAGGAGAAGCUGUCACAUUCUAAGGCCUGGGCUCCAAAAUCCCAGAACAGCAAUUCCUCUGCUUCAUCUUGGUCCAACCAGUCACAGGCCCAGCCUAGAUUCAAAGGGGAAGACAUAAGUCCCAUCUCUUGAUGGGCAGAGAGGCCUGUGUGUGCAGGAAGCAUGAGCAGAAUAGUGAGAUUGUCAAGGGUCAUUUUAGGGUCAAGCCACACACAGAUGCCCGGAAAAUACCACCAUUUGCUUAGUUGAUUUUAAGCAGAGAAUGACGAAAUCAUUUUAAAAAAUUGAGAACAAAAUGGCAUAUUGAUAUUGAAUCCAAAUUCCUGUUUAAGCUAUGUACCUCCAAAUCAGUGGUUGCCAUAGGGUAUCACAUUGUAACACAAAUACCUAUUUCUCAUGCAAUUGAAUCACUCAUAAAAAUGUUGAAUGUGCCAUGUAAUAAAUGUAGUAAUUUGUUUUCUUUAGUAAAUAUAACAAAUGUGUAUAUUUAAAAUAAAAUUAGCCUUCCAUUGCCAUAGAAUUCGGAACUGUGGCUUUUUUUUUUUAAGUUUAGGUUGUCUCCAAGCAUAAAAAUGGAAAUACUGAUCCUGUGACAACACAGCCUGAAUUUUCUGCUUUGCAGAUGCCAGAUUUAUUUUUAAAUGGUGUGAAUCAAAUCUGUGCUGAGAGGCCAACUUCAAAAUAUAAAAGAAAAAUUGGCAAUGGGAGGAUUGUGCUGGUUUGGCUGAAAUGAAGUGCUCUACGGCAUUUCAUUCUAGUGGAGCGUCUGACUGUGAAAAUCCUUCCAAUUGUAAUUUUCUUUGGCUUGUCAAAAGAGGAUUAUGAACUAAAGUCAGUGUUGCAGGAAAUGUCACCUGUCCUUUGAAAGAAAAUAAUAAAUCAAAAUGGCUUUUGUUCAUCAUGUUUAAAAUGAAAAAAAAAAAAAAGUUGAUCCACUUGGAGUCUUCUCUCAUUUCUUGACAAGGCAGUUAAAUAAAUAAAACGGAAUUUUUUGUAAUUGUUACUUCUUGCUCAUCUCAAAAGGGGAAAAGGGAAAUCUUCAUUCAAUACAUAUUCAUACAGAGAAAAUAGAAGAGCAGAGACAGAGACAGAAAGAGAAAUGAGAUGAAGAGUGAAACAAGACCCUGGUAGAGUUCCUCAAGUCAGAUGUUAAGAAAGGUAUCUUUAAAUUAUAAUUUGUUUCUUUGAUAGAUACUAUAUUACAAAUUCAAAAAUGUGAGGUAAAUAAAAACAAAAGGAGUAGAUAACUAUUCCUGAAAAAUUCUAAGUGCUUGUAUAUUUUGCUUUAAGCAAAUAAAGACAAAAUUACCAAACAUA
This is a long non-coding RNA of Homo sapiens (human), 2567 nucleotides long. RefSeq annotates it as long independently transcribed non-coding RNA 2515. Lineage: Eukaryota; Metazoa; Chordata; Mammalia; Primates; Hominidae. The transcript is spliced from 2 exons. The record is from RefSeq and is marked validated.